Molecule: ribosomal RNA, 367 nt
Filed under: Phasmahyla cochranae (chocolatefoot leaf frog)
Lineage: Eukaryota; Metazoa; Chordata; Amphibia; Anura; Hylidae
Description: partial 16S ribosomal RNA
Rfam family: Bacterial large subunit ribosomal RNA
Source: RNAcentral
GAAUGGCACCACGAAGGUUACACUGUCUCCUUUCUCUAAUCAGUGAAAUUGAUUUCUCCGUGAAGAAGCGGAGAUAAAUAUAUAAGACGAGAAGACCCUAUGGAGCUUCAAACUAUUAACAAUUAUUUUUACUUAUUAAACCUUUAGGUUAUAAAAUCAACUUAAAUAUUCUGAUUAUUAGUUUUCGGUUGGGGUGACCACGGAGUAAAACCUAUCCUCCAUGAUGAAUUAGAGCCCGCCUCUAAGCAAAAAACUACAAUUUAAUGCAUCAAAAAAUUGACUCUAUUGACCCAAUAUUUGAUCAACGAACCAAGUUACCCUAGGGAUAACAGCGCAAUCCGUCUCAAGAGCUCAUAUCGACAGAUGG